CUCACUUAGCAGAGCGUCAGCUUGGGCAUGGCUACCCACUCCAGUAUUCUUGCCUGGAGAAUUCCAUGGACAGAGGAGACUGGUGGGCUACAGUCCAUAGGGUCACAAAGGGUUGGACAUGACUGAAGUGACUUAGCAGUCGUGACCCAUAGCCUGGGCAGGCCACAGCGCAUUGCUAACUGCUGUGAAACCAAGCAACAAGUCACUCCCCAGGAACAAAGGUGACGGCCACCAGGCCGCGGAGCCUUGACCUCAUCUCAUUUCCUACGUGCCGUCCACCCCAUAAUCACUGUGCCUCCAGGGAGCGUGCCCGCCAAGCAGCGCGUGCUGUCGGCCUCCUGUUUACAGAGCCUUUCUGGCGUCAGGUAGCUCCAGCUCCUGUAAUCUCUCUGAGGAUAGUGAUAGGGGCUUCCUGCUUGGGCUCACUGCUCCCAAG
RNAcentral lists this long non-coding RNA (436 nucleotides) under Bos mutus (wild yak). Its description in RNAcentral is "lncRNA (ENSBMUG00000001251.1)". The record is from RNAcentral. Lineage: Eukaryota; Metazoa; Chordata; Mammalia; Artiodactyla; Bovidae.